UACGGAGGAUCCAAGCGUUAUCCGGAUUUAUUGGGUUUAAAGGGUGCGUAGGCGGCUUAUUAAGUCAGGGGUGAAAGACGGUGGCUCAACCAUCGCAGUGCCCUUGAUACUGAUGAGCUUGAAUGGACUAGAGGUAGGCGGAAUGUGACAAGUAGCGGUGAAAUGCAUAGAUAUGUCACAGAACACCGGUUGCGAAGGCAGCCUACUAUGGUUUUAUUGACGCUGAGGCACGAAAGCGUGGGGAUCAAACAGG
RNAcentral lists this ribosomal RNA (253 nucleotides) under uncultured bacterium. RNAcentral's name for it is "partial 16S ribosomal RNA". It matches the Rfam family "Bacterial small subunit ribosomal RNA", at positions 524 to 776 of the family's 1533-position model. The record is from RNAcentral.